This 462-nucleotide ribosomal RNA is filed under the name uncultured bacterium. RNAcentral's name for it is "partial 16S ribosomal RNA". It matches the Rfam family "Bacterial small subunit ribosomal RNA", at positions 29 to 507 of the family's 1533-position model. The record is from RNAcentral.
AGUGAACGCUGGCGGCGUGCCUAAUACAUGCAAGUCGAACGGAGACUAAGUAGCUUGCUAUUUAAUCUUAGUGGCGCACGGGUGAGUAAUAUAUAGCUAACUUGCCCAUUACUAAGGGACAACAGUUGGAAACGACUGCUAAUACCUUAUACUCCGUAUCUAUAUAAGUAGAUACGGGAAAGUUUUUCGGUAAUGGAUAGGGCUAUAUCGUAUCAGCUAGUUGGUAAGGUAAUGGCUUACCAAGGCUAUGACGCGUAACUGGUCUGAGAGGAUGAUCAGUCACACUGGAACUGAGGCACCGUCCAGACUCCUACGGGAAGCAGCAGUAGGGUAUAUUGCUCAAUGGGGGAAACCCUGAAGCAGCAACGCCGCGUGGAGGAUGACACUUUUCGGAGCGUAAACUCCUUUUCUUGGGAAAGAAUUAUGACGGUACCCAAGGAAUAAGCACCGGCUAACUCCGUG